This 680-nucleotide ribosomal RNA is filed under the name Suillus foetidus. RNAcentral describes it as "eukaryotic LSU rRNA". The stretch from base 233 to 387 matches the Rfam family "5.8S ribosomal RNA". The record is from RNAcentral. Lineage: Eukaryota; Fungi; Basidiomycota; Agaricomycetes; Boletales; Suillaceae.
UAAAAUGAAUUGAUAUAUUAAUAUGAUAGACAAGUGGAUAGGGGGGUGAUCGCUGUCGCUGGCCUUUCAUUAGGCAUGUGCACGCUUUUCUCCUCUGGAAACUUGGUCGUGGAGCGCGGGGCGACUCGCGUUCCGUCGUAUGCCCACAUGUGUAGAAAGUCUUUGAAUGUUUUUACCAUCAUCGAGUCGUGACUUCUAGGAGACAUGAUUCUUUGAGACAAAAGUUAAUUACAACUUUCAGCAAUGGAUCUCUUGGUUCUCGCAUCGAUGAAGAACGCAGCGAAUAGCGAUAUGUAAUGUGAAUUGCAGAUCUACAGUGAAUCAUCGAAUUUUUGAACGCACCUUGCGCUUCUCGGUGUUCCGAGAAGCAUGCCUGUUUGAGCGUCGUUUAAUUCUCAACCCCCCUUUGAUUAGCCUCGAAUGGGGUGUUUGGAUGGUGGGGGCUGCCGGAAGACUUCAUUGGAAUUCGGCUCUCCUUAAAUGCAUCGGCUUGCACAGACCUUUGACUUUGCCCGACAAGGCUUUCGGCGUGAUAAUGAUCGUCGUUUUGCUGAAACGCAUGAAUGAAGGUCGAGCGCCUCUAAUACGUCGACCCCCCCUCCAAGGGUCUUCCUAAUUUUAAGCGCGACCUCCAAUCAAGUAGGACUACCCGCUGAACUUUAGCAUAUCAAUAAACCGGA